AAAAUCAGAUCCAGUUGUCAUCAUCAUGCCCACGUUCUGAGUAAACGUCAUGAAAUCUACUGGGACAACAUUUGAGAAACCAUCGUUCCAAAAAGUAGAGAAACAAAUUCCCUACGGAUACAGAAGGGAAACAGAAGUGCUUGCAGCAUCUCAUUUAUUUACCAGUGAGAGGAAGCAAGUGGGUGACUCUACCGGAAAAUCCAGAGAUAUUUGGGAUCUAGUGGGGAGAGAGGACGAUCAAAUAAUCUGA
This 250-nucleotide long non-coding RNA is filed under the name Papio anubis (olive baboon). Its description in RNAcentral is "lncRNA (ENSPANG00000040079.1)". Lineage: Eukaryota; Metazoa; Chordata; Mammalia; Primates; Cercopithecidae. The record is from RNAcentral.